This 278-nucleotide unclassified non-coding RNA is filed under the name plant metagenome. Its description in RNAcentral is "partial contains small subunit ribosomal RNA and internal transcribed spacer 1". The stretch from base 1 to 54 matches the Rfam family "Eukaryotic small subunit ribosomal RNA", at positions 1778 to 1831 of the family's 1831-position model. The record is from RNAcentral.
GGAAGUAAAAGUCGUAGCAAGGUUUCCGUAGGUGAACCUGCGGAAGGAUCAUUAUCGAAAUACUUAUUUAGCGUUCCGUGCUAUCCCAUUGUUUUAUUUACCCUGUUGCUUCCACUGGAUGAGUUUCCAUACCUUGUGUUUGAGAAACUUUGGCUUGUGUAAGAUUCAUUCACGGCCAGCCAGUGAGAAGACCAUUUACAAAACCCUGUUAAGAACCAAUUGUCUGAAUAUUUUACUCCAAUGAAAUAAAACUUUCAACAACGGAUCUCUAGGCUCUU